RNAcentral lists this ribosomal RNA (440 nucleotides) under uncultured bacterium. RNAcentral describes it as "partial 16S ribosomal RNA". It matches the Rfam family "Bacterial small subunit ribosomal RNA", at positions 338 to 795 of the family's 1533-position model. The record is from RNAcentral.
CCUACGGGUGGCAGCAGUGGGGAAUAUUGCACAAUGGGGGAAACCCUGAUGCAGCAACGCCGCGUGAGUGAAGAAGUACUUCGGUAUGUAAAGCUCUAUCAGCAGGGAAGAGAAUGACGGUACCUGACUAAGAAGCGACGGGUAACUACGGGCCAGCAGCCGCGGUCAUACGUAGGGGGCGAGCGGUAUCCGGAUUUAUUGGGUGUAAAGGGAGCGUAGACGGUGCUGCAAGUUUGAAGUGAAAGCCCGUGGCUUAACCGCGGAACGGCUUUUGAAACUGGGGGACUGGAGUGCUGGAGAGGCAGGCGGAAUGCCUGGUGUAGCGGUGAAAUGCGUAGAUAUUAGGAGGAACACCGAUGGCGAAGGCAGCUUGCUGGACAGUUACUGACGUUGAGGCUCGAAAGCGUGGGGAGCGAACAGGAUUAGAUACCCUGGUAGUC